Molecule: ribosomal RNA, 460 nt
Filed under: uncultured bacterium
Lineage: Bacteria
Description: partial 16S ribosomal RNA
Rfam family: Bacterial small subunit ribosomal RNA
Source: RNAcentral
CCUACGGGUGGCAGCAGUGAGGAAUAUUGGUCAAUGGACGAGAGUCUGAACCAGCCAAGUAGCGUGAAGGAUGACUGCCCUAUGGGUUGUAAACUUCUUUUAUAUGGGAAUAAAAUGUUCCACGUGUGGGAUUUUGUAUGUACCAUAUGAAUAAGGAUCGGCUAACUCCGUGCCAGCAGCCGCGGUAAUACGGAGGAUCCGAGCGUUAUCCGGAUUUAUUGGGUUUAAAGGGAGCGUAGGUGGAUUGUUAAGUCAGUUGUGAAAGUUUGCAGCUCAACCGUAAAAUUGCAGUUGAAACUGGCAGUCUUGAGUACAGUAGAGGUGGGCGGAAUUCGUGGUGUAGCGGUGAAAUGCUUAGAUAUCACGAAGAACUCCGAUUGCGAAGGCAGUUCACUGGACUGCAACUGACACUGAGGCUCGAAAGUGUGGGUAUCAAACAGGAUUAGAUACCCGUGUAGUC